CAGGUCACGUCUCUGCAGUU
This 20-nucleotide microRNA is filed under the name Mus musculus (house mouse). RNAcentral's name for it is "mmu-miR-370-5p". Its record names the gene mmu-miR-370-5p. The record is from miRBase by way of RNAcentral. Lineage: Eukaryota; Metazoa; Chordata; Mammalia; Rodentia; Muridae.